Molecule: RNA transcript, 3183 nt
Organism: Hemicordylus capensis (graceful crag lizard)
Lineage: Eukaryota; Metazoa; Chordata; Lepidosauria; Squamata; Cordylidae
Gene: MARCHF9
Gene name: membrane associated ring-CH-type finger 9
Exons: 5
Source: RefSeq, a predicted model, not a curated record
GAGUGGCGCAGCGGUUACGCACCAGCCCCUCGCUUUUCGCCCCCCGCCGCCGGCCCGCCCGCCUCUGAGUCCCCCAGUCCCUCGCGGUACGGACGCACAGGCAGCUCGCUAGCAGCUCCGCUUGCUCUCUCUCCUCCUCCCGAAAUGUUUUAUUUAACAUGCUGUACCGGAAGGAGAAGCCAUAUUCCCUCUCCCCAGCCCUGAGUCGCCGCCGCCGCUGCCAGCUAGGCUGCCGUGCGCCCCAGCCCCCGGACCUCGGGGGUGGCUGGAGGAGACCGCAGGAGGGUGCGUAGGGGGCGCUGGCAACCCCGUGCGGUGGGGGGCGCCCUGGGACAAAGCCCUGUUGCAUGCCGGGGCCGGCUACAUAAAGAGCCGAGGCGAAAGAGGGGCCGCAACAUCGGCAGACCCGGCACCCUCCUCCUGCCUCACACACACACACACACACACACACGACGCCGCCGCUCCUAAGCACAGACACACACCCCGAUCGCGGCGCGGAGAAGGUGGAACGGCGAGCCGCCUGCUUGCCAGCCUGCGGAAGAGCGGCCCGGAGCCCGAGCCCGCCGGGAUGCGGCUUCUCCAGGCCGGGCGGCGUGGCCGCGGCUGCAGGAGGGAGCGGACAUGCCCGUAGCUCUGCAGACAAAAGAGCCGCCUGCGAUUGCAGCUGCCCAGCCAGCCCCCCGAGGGGAGGAGGCGGAGAGGGACCCUGCUGCUGCUGCUGCUGCUGCCGCUGCCGCUGCAGGUCCUGAAGAGUAAGAGCCGCCUCCCGGCCGUGUUCGUGGCGGGCAGAAGGAGAAGCCCCGGAGGAAGAGGGCGGCGAAGAGCUGCAGCUCGCUUUUUGCAGCGCGCCCGCUGGAUUCUCCACCCCGCUCCCUCCCUGACUGGCCUCGCUGCCGGUCGCUGGCCGCCGGAGGAGAGCCGCCCGCCCCCCUCUCACUCAGCCAUGGCCCAAGGAAAUCCGGACGCGGACUGCCCGCUGGGGAUCCGAGAGGGACCCACGGAACGCGCCGCAUCCUAGGGGAGAGCUACCCACCCAGCGAGCGGGGUGGCGGCGGUGGUAGUGGCGGUGGUGAGUGAGCGGUUCGUUCUCUCCCACGGCCGCCUUGACGCCUCCCCACCGACGGCCCCUUGCCCUUACCCCUAGCUAGCACGCCGAAGGGUUUCCUUGCCUUUCCCGGCCAAAAGGCCUCCCUCUCCAUCCUCACCGGCUGUGACCCCCCCCCCGCAUUCCUUUCCGGCACCCCUAUUCCCUGCCGUACCCCCGCACACCUGUAAACACGCAGCCUUCCUCCUUACAGUAGUCAAGACUCCGCCACCGCUUGUGUCCGGGAUGGGGGUCCCAGCUUUUGCUCCCCGCCCUCCCCUCUGCGACCCCCCGGCCUCCCCAUUGCAGCAGCCCUUCGUCGUCUUCUCCUCUUCCCCGUCCCCCGAUGCGGGCCAGGGGCACAGCUAAGCGCCCUUGUCUCCCCCACCCCUCCAGGGCCCCCCACCCCAAAAGGAAGCGCUGCCGCCGCCGCCGGGGGAAGUAAAUGAUGUUCAAGUACCGGAUCCGCAUGUUCUUCAACGAGCUGAAGCUGCUGGUGUUGAUGCGGCGGGGCCGCCCGGAGCCCGAGCCUGGAGCCGGGGGAAGCCGGGGGGCGCUGGGAGGCAGCGGCUGUGGAUGGCCCCCCUUCGCCGAUUGCUCGGCCCGGCAGGACGAUGAGGCUGAGUAUUAUGGUGGGGGAGGCGCGGAGACUCGGCCCCGGAGCCUGGCCCUGGAAGAGAAAGACCCCCGACCUCAGCCCCCCGGGCACCAGCCGGGGCAGCAGCAGCAGCAGCAGCAGCCCGGAACUGCCGGGGCCGGAGGAGCUUUGGACUCGGUGUCGCUCAGCAGCAGCUUGGAUAGUGGCAUGAGGACCCCGCAGUGCCGGAUCUGCUUCCAGGGACCCGAGCAGGGAGAGCUGCUGAGCCCAUGUCGCUGUGACGGUUCUGUCCGCUGCACACACCAGCCCUGCCUGAUUCGCUGGAUCAGCGAGAGGGGCUCUUGGAGCUGUGAACUGUGCUACUUCAAAUACCAGGUCUUAGCCAUUAGCACAAAGAAUCCCUUGCAGUGGCAGGCGAUUUCUCUGACAGUGAUUGAAAAGGUGCAGAUUGCAGCCAUCAUCCUGGGUUCUCUCUUCCUCAUUGCCAGCAUCUCGUGGCUCAUCUGGUCCUCCCUGAGCCCCUCGGCCAAAUGGCAGCGGCAGGACCUGCUCUUCCAGAUCUGCUAUGGCAUGUAUGGCUUUAUGGACAUCGUCUGCAUAGGUCUGAUUAUCCAUGAGGGCUCCUCAGUAUAUCGAAUAUUCAAGCGUUGGCAGGCGGUGAACCAGCAGUGGAAGGUGCUGAACUAUGACAAAGCCAAGGACCUGGGGGAACCAAUUGGCGGGAGCACAAAGCCCGGAGGGCGGAAUUCACGGACGAACCCCUCCUCAGGGAGUGAGAGGACCUCCCAGCGGGGCCAGCGGGUUAGGACUAUUUUGAACCAUCACUGUGGCUAUACAAUUCUGCACAUUCUCAGCCACCUACGGCCGAAUGAACAUCGUGGGGGCUCCAGUUCCAGCCGUGAGGUUGUCAUGAGGGUGACAACUGUAUAAUAACAGCCUAUGGAGUCUUUGCCAAGAGGGAGAGGCUCCACAGUUUCCAUGGAAGGAAGAGGCCGAUGCCUUCACUUCCGCACAGGCUCCAUUUUGAGCCCCUACGGGGCCUGUGGUGAAAGGAGAGACCCUGUCCUCCCAGCUUCCCUUGUAAGACUAAACUCCUUGGAAGUGUGGUGGGGUUUUAUUUAUUUAAUUUUUUAAAGCAACCCCUGCCUGGUUCCUUCUUGACGAGUCUUGGCGCCAACCAAUCCAGAAAUUUGAAAACAUUUUUACCUCAUCUUUCAAAGGAAAUCCUGCCAGAAGACCAAUACCUUUCCACCCCAUCCCAUUGGUCUCUCUAUCCAAGAGACACCAACCAGAGGAGUGCUGAACUUUUACCCAUCCAAAAGAAAUUUUUAAAAAAUGGUGCAAUAAACAUGUUUCUUAAAGCAAAAUGGCAUCUCGCAAUAAGAUACCUGUACAUUUCAUCUUUAAUUUAAUGCAUGGAGAUCUGUUUCUCUCCCUCCUCUCCCUCCCCUCUUUUCCUUCUCUCCAUCUGUGGGAGGAUAAAGAAUCGUUUAUAUACAAA